RNAcentral lists this ribosomal RNA (255 nucleotides) under uncultured Bacteroidota bacterium. Its description in RNAcentral is "uncultured Bacteroidetes bacterium partial 16S ribosomal RNA". It matches the Rfam family "Bacterial small subunit ribosomal RNA", at positions 78 to 334 of the family's 1533-position model. The record is from RNAcentral. Lineage: Bacteria; Pseudomonadati; Bacteroidota.
CAAUACACCGCUGGCGACCGGCGCACGGGUGAGUAACACGUAUCCAACCUGCCCUUUACUCGGGGAUAGCCUUUCGAAAGAAAGAUUAAUACCCGAUGGUAUAACAUGACCUCCUGGUUUUGUUAUUAAAGAAUUUCGGUAGAGGAUGGGGAUGCGUUCCAUUAGGCAGUUGGCGGGGUAACGGCCCACCAAGACAUCGAUGGAUAGGGGUUCUGAGAGGAAGGUCCCCCACAUUGGAACUGAGACACGGUCCAA